Molecule: RNA transcript, 1448 nt
Organism: Hyaena hyaena (striped hyena)
Lineage: Eukaryota; Metazoa; Chordata; Mammalia; Carnivora; Hyaenidae
Gene name: MORF4 family-associated protein 1-like
Exons: 3
Source: RefSeq, a predicted model, not a curated record
GAAGCGGAGCGCGUGGAAGGGGGAACUUGGAGCGACAGUCCGGGAGCGCCGCUGACGCGCCGACGCCCGCAGGGACGGUUUGGCGGGACGGAUGCGGCCCUUGGACGUCGUCGGGCUGGCGGAGCCGGAGGAGGUGGAGGUGCUGGAGCCCGAGGAGGACUUCGAGCAGUUUCUGCUGCCCGUCAUCCACGAGAUGCGCGAGGACAUCGCGGCGCUGACCCGGGAGCGCGGCCGGGCGCACCUGCGGAACCGGAGCAAGCUGUGGGAGAUGGACAAUAUGCUCGUCCAGAUCAAGACGCAGGUGGAGGCCUCGGAGGAGAGCGCCCUGAACCAUCUGCAGAAUCCCGACGACGGGGCCGAGGGCAGAGGGACCAGACGGGGCGAGAAGGCGGAGGAGAAGGCCAAGGAGAUCGCGAAGAUGGCAGAGAUGCUGGUGGAGCUGGUCCGGCGGAUAGAGAGAAGCGAGUCGUCGUGAAGGAGGGCGGGCGGUUACAGAAAUCUGAGACUCGGCUCCUUGAUGGCAACGACUCUGGUCUCCUGGCCGAAUUUGAACUGCAUUAGGCAGCGCCGGGGCGCGCGUUCUGCAGCAGACUGGAUUGUUUAAGAUGCUAGAGUGGCGACUGUUCCCAGGGACGCGGCCACCGUGCGCUACCCUUGCACGCCGCCUGCGUUGCGGGGUCACCUUCACUGAGCCGCGUCUGGUCCACGCACCGAGCCUCGGAUCCUCACGGCCCGGCGGGCGGCGGCACCAGCAAGGGCUCCAGGGGCAACCCCAGGCUGCGACUCCCCCACUCCCCCCCACGGCCCCAGGGGGUCUGCAAGAGCCCGCCCACCUGACUGCGGAGGCCCGGCCGCACCCCGUGCAGGGCUGAGACCCAGCGCCAGGGGGCGCGCCGACCCAGCCCUGCAGCCGCCGGACCCAGCGGGAACCGCGCAGGGGCGACCCCGCGGCCGCCCACGCUGGGCCCCUCAAGUUUGCAGCCACCGUUGCCCAGUGUCGCAGCUCCGGCUUCCGCAUCAGCUGGAGGCCUGGAGGAUGGAGGGCCCCGAGCCCCUGCUUUUUGCCAAGACGGAAAUCGCGGGCUCGGCCACGGGUUCUCAAAUUGUGUUCCCCGGACGACCACCUGCGUCUGCCCCUCCUGCAUCCCCCAGCCUUUUGUCUCAAACCCGCCGGGCUAAGCUCUUCCACUUGGCCGGUUAUCAGAACAUGUGCCCCCAGGCCCAGUGCCCCGUGGGCGGGCUUUCCGGGAGCCUCGGGGCUUGAGGCUUGUUUGCGGUACUUCUAAGUUAAAAAAGAAAUUGCGGAUGUUAGAAUUUCAUUCACAUCAACUUUCCAUGGGGAGAAGACUGAUGGAAGAGGGAGACGGGUGUGUUGGGGGGUUCUCUGCCCCCACAUUUCUGUAUUCUCACAUUUUCGACCACAAACACGUAUUUAUAAUAGACAAAAA